Molecule: long non-coding RNA, 2311 nt
Filed under: Vigna radiata
Lineage: Eukaryota; Viridiplantae; Streptophyta; Magnoliopsida; Fabales; Fabaceae
Description: long non-coding RNA (VRAD_LNC015927)
Source: RNAcentral
GCUGAGAUGAAAAUUUCAAGGGUUAAAGGAAAGAGUGCAGUGGAAUGUUAGUUUGGUAGUAAAGCAUGAGGUUAGAGAACUAAGAAUACGAUGAGUGAAGAACGGAGAAGAAAAGUUUUAGAGAAGAUGACAAAGAGUGGUUAUAGUAUAAGUUGCUUAAGAAGGUAUCGUGAAUGAUCAAAGAAUUGAGAUUGAUUGAGACGAUCAAAGUUUUUGAAUCUGCAUGAUGUGGUACAAUUCAUUUUCUUCAGGUGUGGUUUUAGGGUGAUGUUCAGUGAACGGUUGAGUUGGGUCAAGAGAGAAGUGAAUAGUGGAUGUUGAGUUAUAAAAGGUAGUGAAGUGGUGAUUUUAGAUAGGGUUAAAAAAUUAAUGUUGCGGGUUAAAGGUAUUUUGGGAUUUAGAAGAUUUCAGGUAGGGUUUGUAUUUCGAUGAUUCUAAGUUGAAAAGAGUAGUUAUUGAAAAAGGUUUUAAGUUGAGUUGUCAAUGAUGGUACCUGAAGAAUUCUAAGUGAUGUGACGGGUGUGGAAUCAAUAUAAGAGUUCAGAAUUGAGGUUUAUAGAAUAUGAUUUCUUGGCCAGGAAGGAAAGCAAGGGCGAUGCCUAAGGUGUAGUUGAGAGAAAGGUGUAUAGCAAGUGUCAUGGGGAUUCAGUGUGUAUGCUGAAGCAAGCAAAGAUGGUGUGGUAUUGUUAUUUCGUAAGUUUGAGGUGUGAUUCAAGGGAGGUUUGUUUGUUUUCAAAUCGUUUAUGGAGGUUGUGGCCUUCAAAAGAGGUAUUGUACUUUAAGAAGAAGAACAAAUGGUUAUGUAUCAGAAAUGGAUUUAGUUAUAAUGUGAAGUCAAAGGGGUUAUGAAAGUUCGAAGAAGUUAACAAGGAUAAGCAGAGAAGAGAAGAUGAAUCUCUAUGGCGUAAGGGUUUUGGUUGGUGUUCUAACUAGUAUUGAGUUUUUCAUAACUUGGAGAAGUGGAAUUCACUUUGGAGUAGGGUCUUAGGCAGCACCGAUGCCAGUAAUCUUUUAUGGUUGGAUCCUGCCGAAGUGGUGUAGUGCAAGAGGAAGAUGGAAGUUGGGUUAAAGUAGUAGUGUUUGGACUCAGUGGAAUCAUAAGGAGAACUACAAGGUUGAAGAAUCUCAGAAGAGAAUUAGAGGACAAGUUGGAACAGUCUAGUAUAAGUCUUGGCAAUUAGAAGUGAUUUUGGGCAUGUUCAAUUGUGGAGUAGAAAACAGGGUUGAGGGAGAUGGAAUGACAAAACUAUCAAGUAAGAAAAGAGUUAUCGGGGGUUUUGCAAAGUGAUGGAAAUUAUGAGGAAGGUUCUUCAAGGGCGAUCAUUUUCGGGUUACAAUUGUCAUGAAAGAGUAUUCUUUGAGUCAACUAGUGAGCAAGUGAGUUUGAGGAUCAGAGUAGCGCAGCGGAUGAUGGUGAGCAUGUUAGUAUUAGUAAUAUGUGUGCAUGAAGAGCUUUCAUAAUCGUAGAUUGGUGGUUUGUGAGGGACAAGUUAUUUGAAACAAUAUUGGUGCUAUUAUAUGAGAAUGAGUUGGGAGUUUUUGGUAAUUUUCAAGAGUCAUAAGUGAGUUCAAGUAUGGAAGAAAUAGGUAUCAGGCAGAGAAUAUAAGUGAGUCUACGAUUUCAAGCUACAAAGUCAACUUUAAAGUGAGGAAGUAUUAAUGGAUGUGGAACAUGAAGAGUGAGUCAUGGGUGAAGAUAGAAUCUCAGAGACAAAAUGGAAAUGGAAUAGCUUUACCUUGGACUUCGUCAUUUGUUUGCCGCUCGGUCAAGAGGUCAGGUUGUUAUUGGAAUAAAGUGGUCGGGUUGACAAGAGUGGUUACGGUAUUGUCAUCGGUUUGAGAAGCCAGCAUCAGGAUUGGUUCAACUCUACAUCAAAGGAGUGGUUCAAUUGCUUGGAGUGUCGUCUCACAACAUUUCAGACAGAGAUUCCAGGUUCGUCUCUCGGGUUUUGGCAAUCAUGGCAGAACGAGCGGGACAACCAGUUGGAGUUUUAAUCAGCUUAGUCAUUACCAGACAAACGAUCUAGUCUCUACUCAAUCUUAAAUCUAAAAUAUCUUAUACACCUUCUUUGACCUACUCGCCAAUAAAUUAUACUCUCUUCCCUAAACAGUUAACGAACUUUUUCACCAUUUUAUUAUUAUUUACUAAGCAAAAUUUUGUCUUUACUAUUAACCCUCCGCCGUCCGGUAUUAAUAUUAUCGUUCGGUCUUCUCUUCAGCUUUUUGGUCUCUUUGUUUAAACAUUUCCAUUCGGUCAUUUACUUCAGAAUUUUCAUUCAAACCCACAGUCACCCAUCAUCAUAUCCCCACU